GGCAGCCAAGCGCCGGAUAACCCAAAGCAUUCGAAAGAUUGCAGGCGAGAGAUCGCAAUUAUGGGCCGGGGGGCUGCUUUUUU
This 83-nucleotide non-coding RNA is filed under the name Pseudochrobactrum sp. AO18b. Its description in RNAcentral is "DUF3800-VII RNA". It matches the Rfam family "DUF3800-VII RNA". The record is from Rfam by way of RNAcentral. Lineage: Bacteria; Pseudomonadati; Pseudomonadota; Alphaproteobacteria; Hyphomicrobiales; Brucellaceae.